Molecule: ribosomal RNA, 253 nt
Filed under: uncultured bacterium
Lineage: Bacteria
Description: partial 16S ribosomal RNA
Rfam family: Bacterial small subunit ribosomal RNA
Source: RNAcentral
UACGGAGGGAGCUAGCGUUGUCCGGAAUCAUUGGGCGUAAAGAGCGCGUAGGCGGCUGGAAUAGUCCGGUGUGAAAUCCACAGGCUUAACCUGUGAAUGCCGCUGGAAACUGUCUGGCUAGAGUCCGGAAGGGGCGAGUGGAAUUCCUGGUGUAGCGGUGAAAUGCGCAGAUAUCAGGAGGAACACCAAUGGCGAAGGCAGCUCGCUGGGACGGUACUGACGCUGAGGCGCGAAAGCGUGGGGAGCGAACAGG